ACCCCCACCUCGGGGUGCCCGCAAGGGCUGAGACGCAAUCGCGGACCCGUUGAACCUGAACCGGUUAGGACCGGCGGAGGGAAGGUGCGCGGGUCUGGU
Molecule: non-coding RNA, 99 nt
Filed under: Paracoccaceae bacterium
Lineage: Bacteria; Pseudomonadati; Pseudomonadota; Alphaproteobacteria; Rhodobacterales; Paracoccaceae
Description: Rhodobacteraceae bacterium TPP sequence
Rfam family: TPP riboswitch aptamer (THI element)
About the family: Vitamin B(1) in its active form thiamin pyrophosphate (TPP) is an essential coenzyme that is synthesised by coupling of pyrimidine and thiazole moieties in bacteria. The previously detected thiamin-regulatory element, thi box was extended, resulting in a new, highly conserved RNA secondary structure, the THI element, which is widely distributed in eubacteria and also occurs in some archaea.
Source: RNAcentral